AAUGUAGAGUUGGUUGUAGCUGGCCCUUGGAUUAAUUUCUUGGGGGCAUGUGCACACCUUCUCUUUCAUCCCACACACACCUGUGAACCUGUGAGAUAGUAGUUGGGGACUUUAAUGGACCCACUUCUGUCUACUUAAUUCAUAUAAAAUCAAUUUAAUUUAAAACGAAUGUAAUGGAUGUAACGCAUCUAAUACUAAGUUUCAACAACGGAUCUCUUGGCUCUCGCAUCGAUGAAGAACGCAGCGAAAUGCGAUAAGUAAUGUGAAUUGCAGAAUUCAGUGAAUCAUCGAAUCUUUGAACGCACCUUGCGCUCCUUGGUAUUCCUUGGAGCAUGCCUGUUUGAGUAUCAUGAAAUCUUCAAAGUAAAUCUUUUUGUUAACUCAAUUGGUUUCUACUUUGGUAUUGGAGGUCUUUGCAGCUUCACACCUGCUCCUCUUUGUUCAUUAGCUGGAUCUCAGUGUUAUGCUUGGUUCCACUCAGCGUGAUAAGUUAUCUAUCGCUGAGGACACUGUAAAAGGUGGCCAAGGUAAAUGCAGAUGAACCGCUUCUAAUAGUCCAUUGACUUGGACAAUAAAUUAAUUUUUAUGAUCUGAUCUCAAAUCAGGUAGGACUACCCGCUGAACUUAA
Molecule: ribosomal RNA, 628 nt
Filed under: Ceratobasidium sp. AG-E
Lineage: Eukaryota; Fungi; Basidiomycota; Agaricomycetes; Cantharellales; Ceratobasidiaceae
Description: eukaryotic LSU rRNA
Rfam family: 5.8S ribosomal RNA (bases 197-350)
Source: RNAcentral